This is a long non-coding RNA of Onychostoma macrolepis, 502 nucleotides long. RefSeq lists it as uncharacterized. The transcript has 4 exons. The record is from RefSeq and is a predicted model, not a curated record. NCBI's taxonomy places the organism in Eukaryota, Metazoa, Chordata, Actinopteri, Cypriniformes, Cyprinidae.
AGCAGGACCAGAGAGUGCUAGUAAUAGCAGUGUGAGCUCAUCUCAGGUGAUAUCAGAUGGAGGAAAGAGAGAAAGGGAGCACAAUGGUGACUCUGACUCUGGAAAAGGGAGUGAUGACAGUCCCUCUAACUCUCAGGAGGCAGUGAACCUUGUGAGUGAGACCUCCAGUGGUCAAACCCAGCCUGCAUAAGCACUACUACCAAAGCCAUGAUUCAGAGCGAGAGCAUCACUGAACAUUUGUAAUGGGGCAUUUGACACUGUCACUUCUGACAGUCCUGACAAUUAUUUUAUUUUUGGAGGUUGCUUGUAGUUGAAUUAUAAUUUCUGUCUGUCUUUCUCUCAUUUUUCAUAUAAUCUGGAUUUUUUUAAACACAUUGCUUGAGAGAAUUAUGUUUUCCAGAUUAUGUUAUAGGAAGAGAGCUGACUUAGACACUGUUUUAAAAAAAAUAUCAUAUUUGAUAUAUUCAUAUUGAUAUUAUUAUUAAAAAUAUUUGAUAGUUUC